GUGAACGGCCACAUUGGGACUGAGACACGGCCCAAACUCCUACGGGAGGCAGCAGUGGGGAAUAUUGCACAAUGGGGGAAACCCUGAUGCAGCGACGCCGCGUGAGUGAGGAAGUAUUUCGGUAUGUAAAGCUCUAUCAGCAGGGAAGAAAAUGACGGUACCUGACUAAGAAGCCCCGGCUAACUACGUGCCAGCAGCCGCGGUAAUACGUAGGGGGCAAGCGUUAUCCGGAUUUACUGGGUGUAAAGGGAGCGUAGACGGCAUGGCAAGUCUGAAGUGAAAUGCGGGGGCUCAACCCCUGAACUGCUUUGGAAACUGUCAGGCUGGAGUGCAGGAGAGGUAAGUGGAAUUCCUAGUGUAGCGGUGAAAUGCGUAGAUAUUAGGAGGAACACCAGUGGCGAAGGCGGCUUACUGGACUGUAACUGACGUUGAGGCUCGAAAGCGUGGGGAGCAAACAGGAUUAGAUACCCUGGUAGUCCACGCCGUAAACGAUGAUUACUAGGUGUUGGGGAUUUAUAAAUCCUCGGUGCCGUCGCAAACGCAAUAAGUAAUCCACCUGGGGAGUACGUUCGCAAGAAUGCAACUCAAA
RNAcentral lists this ribosomal RNA (589 nucleotides) under uncultured Bacillota bacterium. Its description in RNAcentral is "bacterial SSU rRNA". It matches the Rfam family "Bacterial small subunit ribosomal RNA", at positions 300 to 905 of the family's 1533-position model. Lineage: Bacteria; Bacillati; Bacillota. The record is from RNAcentral.